Molecule: long non-coding RNA, 1345 nt
Organism: Camelina sativa (false flax)
Lineage: Eukaryota; Viridiplantae; Streptophyta; Magnoliopsida; Brassicales; Brassicaceae
Source: RefSeq, a predicted model, not a curated record
GAAAAUUUUCAGAUCUUACUCCAAAAAAAAACUUUUAUGUGCCAAAAUCAAUUCAUUAAAAAAUAAAUAAAAAGGUGUUUAGAGAAGAGAAAAAAACUUUCAUGAGCUAGAUCCUCUUCUCCUCCAUAUACCCUUUGUCGUCUCUGAUCUUUUUCUUCUUCUCCACUGUGUCCCUUAACUCUUUCGAUCCAUCUUCUUUGUUCUCUCACUGUGUCGUCCCCUCUCUCUCCCUUUAUGUCAUUUUUUUUUGUCUAAGAGCUUCACGGUCAUUUGCACACCAUGUGUUUGAUGAAAUUACUGUGAUGGUGUGUGAUUGGAUAUUGAAAGGGAUCUAUCUUAAACAACAUUUUUGUUCUUCGUCGCUCUUGUUAUCUGUCGCUCUCACACAAUCGCGAUUUGCAAAAUUUGUUGGAGAUAGAGAUCCAAACUUUUGUUUGGAGAUAGGAAAAGACGAGGAGGCAAUUCACGCCCUUUCACACAUUCUCUGCUGAUUUGUAUCUUCUCCGCUGUUUGGAGAUAGAGAAGCUUCUCUUUUCUUGUAAUCACGAGACAGGUUUUCGCAUAGCGUUUGUAUGUGUGGUACCUACGAUAACAGUGGCCUAACAUAGCGUUUGUGAAAGAGCUAUAAAUGACGUAUUAUAGCGUUUCUCUACUGCUAUCAAUGUAGAUAUUUGUUGUAGAGCUCGUACAACUCUUGUUGAAAGAGAGGAACAACUUGUGUCUCGUUUUCUUGGUGGACUUCGUACCCAACUCCAAAUUCCGUUAUAACAAUUCAAUCCAACUGUUGUCUCUGAAGCACAUCAACGAGCUCUUGGAAUGGAACUUAAAUACAAGUCUAACUUGAAUUCUUCAUCGUCACUGACUCGUUUUCUUACCCCCACUCAACAGCUGAUGCCCGUGUUCCUAACAACAAUAAUUUUACAUCAUUACGUCCUGCUCCGCCAAAGACUAAUGCUCCAUCUGAUUCCAUUGUCGCUUCUCGUCAGCCAUGAACAUGUGCUUUACGGUGUUACACUUGUGGUGAAUCUGGUCACAGACAAACUGCUUGUCCUCUCAUUAGAAUAAACGUGGUUUGUUAACUCAUGAAACAAAGCUUGUUGGCGAGCCACAGUUUGAUGACAAAGGAUCAGAUUCUCAAGACCAGGUGGAUGAAACUAUUUCUGGUGAUAUAGGUCUAAAUCUGGUUCUACGUCGAAACUGUUUGUUACCAAAAGCUCUUAAUGAGUCCUGGCUACGAUCUGAGAUCUCUUUAUUGGUAAAUUUGUUGUGGUUUAUUUCCAUUGUGGAUACUGUAAGAAGAAGAAGAAGAAAAGUUGAAUCUGAGAUCUCAAAGGAAUCAAAGACA